AUUAGCCUGGAAUGUUCGAUAAACCUUGAAUUUUUGAACCUACAAUACUUUAAACGGGAUUCCAAUAUUUAUAUAUAGAUGUCGGGCCGUCACUGCUGCAUUUUGCGGUAUAUUAUCAACGGAUGGCAGAAAUAUAUGUGCGGUUGCCCACCUAGCAUGCGCUAGGAGUCAAAAAUCAGGGAACGGCAUUUCGGGUAUACA
RNAcentral lists this non-coding RNA (201 nucleotides) under Lachnospiraceae bacterium. Its description in RNAcentral is "6S RNA". It matches the Rfam family "6S / SsrS RNA". From Rfam's summary of the family: E. coli 6S RNA was the first non coding RNA to be sequenced, but its function was unknown until recently. It consists of 184 nucleotides that fold into an extended hairpin structure with a large single-stranded internal bulge. The 6S RNA specifically associates with RNA polymerase holoenzyme containing the sigma70 specificity factor. The record is from RNAcentral. Lineage: Bacteria; Bacillati; Bacillota; Clostridia; Lachnospirales; Lachnospiraceae.